AGCAGUGAGGAAUAUUGGACAAUGGGCGCAAGCCUGAUCCAGCCAUGCCGCGUGCAGGAUGACGGUCCUAUGGAUUGUAAACUGCUUUUAUACGGGAAGAAACCCUGGCUCGUGAGCCAGAUUGACGGUACCGUAGGAAUAAGGAUCGGCUAACUCCGUGCCAGCAGCCGCGGUAAUACGGAGGAUCCAAGCGUUAUCCGGAAUCAUUGGGUUUAAAGGGUCCGUUUAUAAGUCAGUGGUGAAAUCCGGUAGCUCAACUAUCGAACUGCCAUUGAUACUGUAGAACUUGAAUUGCUGUGAAGUAACUAGAAUAUGUAGUGUAGCGGUGAAAUGCUUAGAUAUUACAUGGAAUACCAAUUGCGAAGGCAGGUUACUAACAUCAUAUUGACGCUGAUGGACGAAAGCGUGGGGAGCGAACAGGAUUAGAUACCCUGGUAGUCCACGCCGUAAACGAUGGAUACUAGCUGUUUGGUAGCAAUACUGAGUGGCUAAGCGAAAGUGAUAAGUAUCCCACCUGGGGAGUACGAACGCAAGUUUGAAACUCAAAGGAAUUGACGGGGGCCCGCACAAGCGGUGGAGCAUGUGGUUUAAUUCGAUGAUACGCGAGGAACCUUACCAGGGCUUAAAUGUAGAUUGACAGACUUGGAAACAGGUUUUUCUUCGGACAAUUUACAAGGUGCUGCAUGGUUGUCGUCAGCUCGUGCCGUGAGGUGUCAGGUUAAGUCCUAUAACGAGCGCAACCCCUGUCGUUAGUUGCCAGCGAGUCAUGUCGGGAACUCUAACGAGACUGCCGGUGCAAACCGUGAGGAAGGUGGGGAUGACGUCAAAUCAUCACGGCCCUUACGUCCUGGGCUACACACGUGCUACAAUGGCCGGUACAGAGAGCAGCCACUGGGCGACCAGGAGCGAAUCUACAAAACCGGUCACAGUUCGGAUCGGAGUCUGCAACCCGACUCCGUGAAGCUGGAAUCGCUAGUAAUCGGAUAUCAGCCAUGAUCCGGUGAAUACGUUCCCGGGCCUUGUACACACCGCCCGUCAAGCCAUGGAAGCUGGGGGUACCUGAAGUCGGUGACCGCAAGGAGCUGCCUAGGGUAAAACUGGUAACU
This 1106-nucleotide ribosomal RNA is filed under the name wastewater metagenome. Its description in RNAcentral is "bacterial SSU rRNA". It matches the Rfam family "Bacterial small subunit ribosomal RNA", at positions 350 to 1476 of the family's 1533-position model. The record is from RNAcentral.